GUGUGUGUUCCAGUACAUGACAGGUUGUUGAUGUGUGUGUUCCAGUACAUGACAGGUUGUUGAUGUGUGUGUUCCAGUAAAUGACAGGUUGUUGAUGUGUGUGUUCCAGUACAUGACAGGUUGUUGAUGUGUGUGUUCCAGUAAAUGACAGGUUGUUGAUGUGUGUGUUCCAGUAAAUGACAGGUUGUUGAUGUGUGUGUUCCAGUACAUGACAGGUUGUUGAUGUGUGUGUUCCAGUACAUGACAGGUUGUUGAUGUGUGUGUUCCAGUAAAUGACAGGUUGUUGAUGUGUGUGUUCCAGUACAUGACAGGUUGUUGAUGUGUGUGUUCCAGUAAAUGACAGGUUGUUGAUGUGUGUGUUCCAGUAAAUGACAGGUUGUUGAUGUGUGUGUUCCAGUACAUGACAGGUUGUUGAUGUGUGUGUUCCAGUACAUGACAGGUUGUUGAUGUGUGUGUUCCAGUAAAUGACAGGUUGUUGAUGUGUGUGUUCCAGUACAUGACAGGUUGUUGAUGUGUGUGUUCCAGUACAUGACAGGUUGUUGAUGUGUGUGUUCCAGUAAAUGACAGGUUGUUGAUGUGUGUGUUCCAGUAAAUGACAGGUUGUUGAUGUGUGUGUUCCAGUACAUGACAGGUUGUUGAUGUGUGUGUGUUCCAGUACAUGACAGGUUGUUGAUGUGUGUGUUCCAGUACAUGACAGGUUGUUGAUGUGUGUGUUCCAGUACAUGACAGGUUGUUGAUGUGUGUGUUCCAGUACAUGACAGGUUGUUGAUGUGUGUGUGUGUGUUCCAGUACAUGACAGGUUGUUGAUGUGUGUGUUCCAGUACAUGACAGGUUGUUGAUGUGUGUGUGUGUUCCAGUACAUGACAGGUUGUUGAUGUGUGUGUGUGUUCCAGUACAUGACAGGUUGUUGAUGUGUGUGUGUGUGUUCCAGUACAUGACAGGUUGUUGAUGUGUGUGUUCCAGUACAUGACAGGUUGUUGAUGUGUGUGUGUGUUCCAGUACAUGACAGGUUGUUGAUGUGUGUGUUCCAGUACAUGACAGGUUGUUGAUGUGUGUGUGUUCCAGUACAUGACAGGUUGUUGAUGUGUGUGUGUUCCAGUACAUGACAGGUUGUUGAUGUGUGUGUGUUCCAGUACAUGACAGGUUGUUGAUGUGUGUGUUCCAGUACAUGACAGGUUGUUGAUGUGUGUGUGUUCCAGUACAUGACAGGUUGUUGAUGUGUGUGUUCCAGUACAUGACAGGUUGUUGAUGUGUGUGUUCCAGUACAUGACAGGUUGUUGAUGUGUGUGUGUUCCAGUACAUGACAGGUUGUUGAUGUGUGUGUUCCAGUACAUGACAGGUUGUUGAUGUGUGUGUUCCAGUUCAUGACAGGUUGUUGAUGUGUGUGUUCCAGUACAUGACAGGUUGUUGAUGUGUGUGUGUUCCAGUACAUGACAGGUUGUUGAUGUGUGUGUUCCAGUACAUGACAGGUUGUUGAUGUGUGUGUUCCAGUACAUGACAGGUUGUUGAUGUGUGUGUUCCAGUACAUGACAGGUUGUUGAUGUGUGUGUUCCAGUACAUGACAGGUUGUUGAUGUGUGUGUUCCAGUACAUGACAGGUUGUUGAUGUGUGUGUUCCAGUACAUGACAGGUUAUAGUUGAUGUGUGUGUUCCAGUACAUGACAGGUUAUUGUUGAUGUGUGUGUUCCAGUACAUGACAGGUUGUUGAUGUGUGUGU
This is a long non-coding RNA of Oncorhynchus keta (chum salmon), 1716 nucleotides long. RefSeq lists it as uncharacterized. The transcript has 15 exons. The record is from RefSeq and is a predicted model, not a curated record. Lineage: Eukaryota; Metazoa; Chordata; Actinopteri; Salmoniformes; Salmonidae.